This 1318-nucleotide long non-coding RNA is filed under the name Felis catus (domestic cat). RNAcentral's name for it is "lncRNA (ENSFCAG00000046173.2)". The record is from RNAcentral. Lineage: Eukaryota; Metazoa; Chordata; Mammalia; Carnivora; Felidae.
GAAGGACCUGCCAGGCUGUUUUUGUUUUUGUUUUUGUUUUCUGCCUGGCUACCCACAGUUAGGAGCACUUUAUCUGUAGCCUAACAUGGAGCCAUUGGAAUGUAUCUGAGUGGAGUGCCAUGGACUUGACUUCGACACAGACAGCACUUUUCCAGGCGUGCAUAUCUGAAACCACUAAUCUAGUCCAAUCCUCUUACUUUUCAGAUGAGGAAACUGGGGUCCAGGGCCCAGAGAUCCACUUGAAUCAAAGUGGAUUGAGGAUGCUCCAGUCAGAAUUAUGGAAAUCAGCCCCACAUCUCCCUGGCUGCCAAUAUAGCUCUGACUUUUACCCUCAUUCAGAUAUGUUCUCAUGCCUGAGGCACUGUGCCCGCCGUGGAGCGCCAUUCUGGGUAUCCUGGGAGCAAAUCACCAUCAGCCACUCCUCUAAACUCCUGGAUGUUGUUCUGAGACGUCUCACCGUGACAGCACCUGCGACACAGAUUUUGUUGUGAAGAUAUUCCUCUUGGAAAGUAUCUUGUUUGGCAAGUUCCCAUGGCCACUGGGGAUUCAACUUGAAGGGAAGCGUUAGGAAAAUAUUUUUGAUGACUCUGGAGUAGAGGCAAAGUACACCAUUCUGGCUAAAUUCCAUCCAGAAAAGCCUUCCCCAGGUUUUGUGUGGGGGUAGGGGCCAGGAGUGGUGCAUAGGGCCUCCCGGGGUGGGCGGUGAAAUGCCAUGUGUCUAUUUGAGGUUACCUCUGGUCACUUGUAGCCUGAGAUUAAUGGACCACAGAUCCUAACGCAGCGAUGAUAGAAAUCACACCCCGAUUUGCAUCUUAAUCCUUGAAGUUGAGCAAACAUCAAAAAGCUCAGCAGGUUGGUUCAGAUCAUUAGGAUAAUGAUUAAUAACAGGCUUGUUUACAGAGCGUCCAUCUUCAUAGCUCGUCAUUGCCUUUAUGCAGGAGAGUCUGUUGUGUUAAGAUAAAAACAACAACAUUGAGACCUGAAUGAGUUUCCCCCCAAUACAUCCAUUUUCCCGUAAGCUUUGAUUCCAGCUGUCAUUCGGACACCUCUAUAAUGUAAUUUCCUUUUACUCGACUGAUUCAAAAGUCAUUUUGUCCGUGUAAAGGGAACAUUUUGUAGGAUAAUAGAUCAUAUAAAUCUCUGAUACAACAUACACAUUAUGUCAACAGUAUCUGUAUCUGCCUCUCCCCCUAGAUCCAGAAAACUCAGAAGAUAAGACCACUUAUGAUUCACCUUUUUAUUUCUAGCACUUAGCACAGUGUCCCCAAAAAAGUAGAUGCUCAAUAAAUGUUUGCUGUGUUAUUAAACUGAAGAUUUC